GCCUGGGUGGCUCAGUCGGUUGAGCAUCUGACUUCGGCUCAGGUCAUGAUCUUACAAUUUGUGAGUUUGAGCCCCGCGUCAGGCU
RNAcentral lists this transfer RNA (85 nucleotides) under Felis catus (domestic cat). It matches the Rfam family "tRNA". Rfam says of the family: Transfer RNA (tRNA) molecules are approximately 80 nucleotides in length. Their secondary structure includes four short double-helical elements and three loops (D, anti-codon, and T loops). Further hydrogen bonds mediate the characteristic L-shaped molecular structure. tRNAs have two regions of fundamental functional importance: the anti-codon, which is responsible for specific mRNA codon recognition, and the 3' end, to which the tRNAs corresponding amino acid is attached (by aminoacyl-tRNA synthetases). tRNAs cope with the degeneracy of the genetic code in two manners: having more than one tRNA (with a specific anti-codon) for a particular amino acid; and 'wobble' base-pairing, i.e. permitting non-standard base-pairing at the 3rd anti-codon position. RNAcentral also lists the same sequence under 1 other name. The record is from Rfam by way of RNAcentral. Lineage: Eukaryota; Metazoa; Chordata; Mammalia; Carnivora; Felidae.